Molecule: small nuclear RNA, 19 nt
Filed under: Arabidopsis thaliana (thale cress)
Lineage: Eukaryota; Viridiplantae; Streptophyta; Magnoliopsida; Brassicales; Brassicaceae
Description: snRNA_03714
Source: RNAcentral
CUAUACCCGGCCGUCGGGG